GCAGUGUGAAUUAGUUUUGAAACUGUGAGCUCUCCCAAGUUCGUAGCUUACACAACGCCUGAACAGAUAUUGAGUCUAGCUGCUUCCCUUGAAUCUUGAUGUCUCCCCCAGUGUCUUCAUGACUCCUCUUCAGCAACCUGGGGUGCCUCCAGUGUUGCACCCCAUCCGGUAUCAGCUGAGACUCAGACACCCAGGAAUUGUGUUGAUGGAGACCCACCUUUCCCAAGAAACAGCAUUUUCUUCCUGCCGGCUCUGAUGCAAACAGCUCUUCCAGGCUCCACGUUACCCCCAUCAGUUCAAUCCUCUGCACUCAUGCAGAACUCAGGGGUAUGAGGGAAACGCCCGAGAGUCAUUUGGCUGUGGGCUGAAACUCUGCUUAAAGACAGAAAGGCCUCUCCUUCCCUGCUCAUCGCUUUAUGGUCAUUUACGCAUUGCCUCGCAUCGCUUAACAACGGGGAGACGGUCUGAGAAACAUGUCAGCAGUGCCAGAGCAGGCCCUGCUCGAGGUCCUGCUGGAGCCCUGUCUCCGGGCCCGGCCGCAGCAGGUGGAAAGGGAGUGGAGUCACUCUUAGCUGAAGCAGGAAGAGAACAACACCACGUGGGUAUUGCUAUCAUCCUCAUUCGGCAGAACCAGGAACGAGCGACAGAGGCUCCGUGUUACUGAAUCUUUGCUACGUGCCGGUCAUCACACUAAGAAAAUAACUUGC
RNAcentral lists this long non-coding RNA (707 nucleotides) under Equus caballus (horse). RNAcentral's name for it is "lncRNA (ENSECAG00000055777.1)". Lineage: Eukaryota; Metazoa; Chordata; Mammalia; Perissodactyla; Equidae. The record is from RNAcentral.